UACGAAGGGGGGCUAGCGUUGCUCGGAAUCACUGGGCGUAAAGCGCACGUAGGCGGAUUGCUAAGUCAGGGGUGAAAUCCUGGAGCUCAACUCCAGAACUGCCUUUGAUACUGGCAACCUUGAGUCCGGGAGAGGUGAGUGGAACUGCGAGUGUAGAGGUGAAAUUCGUAGAUAUCAGGAAGAACACCCGUGGCGAAAGCGGCUCUCUGGAACGGUACUGACGCUGAGACGCGAAAGCGUGGGGAGCGAACAGG
RNAcentral lists this ribosomal RNA (254 nucleotides) under uncultured bacterium. RNAcentral describes it as "partial 16S ribosomal RNA". It matches the Rfam family "Bacterial small subunit ribosomal RNA", at positions 524 to 776 of the family's 1533-position model. The record is from RNAcentral.